UAAUAUCCAUUUUGUUCAAUUACAAAUGUGCCUAAAUUAAUUGUAUAGUUAUAAUUAUUGUUGUUUUCAAUGGUUUUUGAGCUUCAAUACCAUUUCUGAGAUCUGACAAAGCGGGCCUUCAAGAAUUACACUGAUGCAAAAACACUUCCAAAAACAAAAAACAAAAAUACCCUCUGAGAAGCUAGCUCUUUCUAAUAAAUUUUAAACCUGAUCAACUAAUCCGAGUUCCAUUUAAGGAACACUACAAGGGAAGAAAUGACAUAUAAUUUAGAGAAAGGUUAUCAAAUCUGACUUCCAAUAUUUUAAAAAUAUUUUUUGAAAUUGGAAUUUCUAACAACAUCCUAAGGUGUGUGAAUGCUUUUUGUUGUAGUGGGUUCCAAGUUUGCUUUCUGCCUCCUGAGAGUCACUCAGCACUUUUCUGUCUAGCUGUGUUCCUCAUAGUCAUGCACAUUAUUUACGUCUCUUUUCUUUGGAAAUAGCCAAUAACUUGGCUUUCUACAACCACUCUUUAAGGAGACACUGUAUGCCUUAGGGAAACUAGGAAAAAAACCUUUAAAUAUAGACUGUGCAGAAUAAUUACAAUAAACUCUUAAUUUUAUAUGGUGGGGGAAAGCAGAGAUAACAUCCAACUGAAGUCUACAGUCACGCCCCAAAUUUCAUUUCAGAAAGCAAUUUCAACUUCUCAUUUAAAAAAACCUGUUAUUUGCAGCAAAAUUGGCUGAUGUGAGUUUUGCUUCUUAUUUUUCGCCAGCCAGAGGGUAAAGCUAGGAACAUACAAACUAGAAGUGCCUCGAACUCAAUCAAUUCUCAAGGAAAUGGAAAUUAACCUUUUCAUUUGACAUUGUGGAAGAAGAAUUCCGCAGGAAGUGUAAACACAGGUAGCUUUGAUCUCAACUCUACCUUGUCCAGAUGCCUGCACAUUGACUCUGAACAUUCUUGAAGAACAGCAUGUGAGGGCCCCUUGUGGAUGAUAAAGACAUAACUAGGCAAAGCCACAACUCAUGAUUUCUAUAGUUACCAACCCUAUUGUAGCAAUCACCACCAGUUGUGUCUUUUUCACUGGAAAGGAAAUUUAAUUACAGAAACAGAGCAUGCUUAGAGUGCAUGGAAUGGAUUGGAGGAUACCUCCAAAAGCUGACCAAUCUCACAUGCAAGUUGAAGUACUGCUGUCUCAAAAAAAAAAAAAAAAAAGACAGCAAACAAAGAGCAAAACUAUCU
Molecule: long non-coding RNA, 1218 nt
Organism: Mesocricetus auratus (golden hamster)
Lineage: Eukaryota; Metazoa; Chordata; Mammalia; Rodentia; Cricetidae
Exons: 2
Source: RefSeq, a predicted model, not a curated record